This 468-nucleotide ribosomal RNA is filed under the name uncultured organism. Its description in RNAcentral is "bacterial SSU rRNA". It matches the Rfam family "Bacterial small subunit ribosomal RNA", at positions 28 to 507 of the family's 1533-position model. The record is from RNAcentral.
GAUGAACGCUAGCGGCAGGCCUAAUACAUGCAAGUCAAGGGGGCAGCAAUGUCACCGGCGGACGGGUGCGUAACGCGUACACAACAUGCCUUUGAGCGGGGGAUAGCGGCGGGAAACUGCCGGUAAUACCCCAUAACACUGCGUCUUGGCAUCAAGGUGCAGUUAAAGUUCCGGCGCUCAGAGAUUGGUGUGCGUCUGAUUAGCUAGUUGGCGGGGUAACGGCCCACCAAGGCGACGAUCAGUAGGGGGUGUGAGAGCAUGGCCCCCCACAUGGGUACUGAGACACGGACCCAACUCCUACGGGAGGCAGCAGUAAGGAAUAUUGGACAAUGGAGGCAACUCUGAUCCAGCCAUGCCGCGUGAAGGAUGAAGGCGCUCAGCGUUGUAAACUUCUUUUGAGUGGGAACAAAAAACGGGACUUGUCCCGGACUGAGGGUACCACUAGAAUAAGCACCGGCUAACUCCGUG